Molecule: ribosomal RNA, 522 nt
Filed under: Listeria monocytogenes
Lineage: Bacteria; Bacillati; Bacillota; Bacilli; Caryophanales; Listeriaceae
Description: partial 23S ribosomal RNA
Rfam family: Bacterial large subunit ribosomal RNA
Source: RNAcentral
GACGGUAACAGCCCGGUAGUUGAAAUGGCUUUCCCUCCAGAGUGGAUCCUGAGUACGGCGGAACACGUGAAAUUCCGUCGGAAUCCGGGAGGACCAUCUCCCAAGGCUAAAUACUCCCUAGUGACCGAUAGUGAACCAGUACCGUGAGGGAAAGGUGAAAAGCACCCCGGAAGGGGAGUGAAACAGUUCCUGAAACCGUGUGCCUACAAGUAGUUAGAGCCCGUUAAUGGGUGAUAGCGUGCCUUUUGUAGAAUGAACCGGCGAGUUACGAUUUGUUGCAAGGUUAAGCGGAAAAAGCGGAGCCGUAGCGAAAGCGAGUCUGAAUAGGGCGCAUAAGUAACAGGUCGUAGACCCGAAACCAGGUGAUCUACCCAUGUCCAGGAUGAAGGUAAGGUAAUACUUACUGGAGGUCCGAACCCACGCACGUUGAAAAGUGCGGGGAUGAGGUGUGGGUAGCGGAGAAAUUCCAAUCGAACUUGGAGAUAGCUGGUUCUCUCCGAAAUAGCUUUAGGGCUAGCCUCG